RNAcentral lists this ribosomal RNA (545 nucleotides) under uncultured soil eukaryote. RNAcentral's name for it is "eukaryotic LSU rRNA". It matches the Rfam family "Eukaryotic large subunit ribosomal RNA", at positions 271 to 667 of the family's 3401-position model. The record is from RNAcentral.
UGUUUGGGAAUGCAGCUCGAAAUGGGUGGUAAGUUUCAUCCAAAGCUAAAUAUAGGCGAGAGACCGAUAGCGAACAAGUACCGUGAGGGAAAGAUGAAAAGAACUUUGAAAAGAGAGUGAAAAAGUACUUGAAAUUGCUAAGAGGGAAGCGCUGGGAAGCAGUAACGUGUAAAAAACAUUUUGCCUAUCUAGUAGUAUUCUCUUAGGAUAUGUAUAUGGGUAACCUAUAUGUGUUGUAGGAGAGUAUUAAUGGGUGGGUCCUGUGUUUUUUACUGGUCAGAAUCAGUUCGAAUUGUGGGAGAAAAUUAGGAGAAAGGUAGGAUAGGGGCAACUUUAUCUGUUAUAGACUUCUAACCAUUACCAUGAUUUGGACUGAGGAAGUAGUGAUGCGCCACAUGGCGUGUCUUCCUGUUCCUCUCUUUGCUUUUGGAUUGAAGGUCAAUGACCUGCUGUCUAAAUGGUAAGGGGAUGUGUGCGGUGAAGAUUUCUGCAUCACCACGAUUCUGACAAAAUGCUUCUCAUCGACCCGUCUUGAAACACGGACC